GCUUAUAAACGAUCGUGUUAAGUGAAUUCUUGGCAAAAGUUUCAUGCUUUUCAUAGUAACAAUUGCCUCGUCAAUGCUUAUAGUUUUCAUGAAACUUAAUGAUCUUUUAUUGUACCUUUAUUGUGCUUUUCACGUAGGGGACUUUUAGAGAAUGCUUUGAGUUGUUGUAUGUGCUUUCCCAUCCAAUUCAUUAACUUAAGGAGAACUUGAAGGUUAAAAAAGUGCUGUCACAGUUGACCUGGAGUAUUGAGUUUCAUGACUUAUUGAGAGAAGCAAUUGGAAAUCAAUUUGAAUGCAAGUGUGUCAUGUGUGGAGAAGAACCCCCUAUUUAACCCAUCACCCAUCAAUUCACCUAAAUUUGUCUAAGAAUCUAUUUAAAUUGUUUUUGUUUUGCUUUACUUAUUUUCGUCCAAAACCAACCCCCACUUUACUUUAUUGAGUCAUAUUAGUUAGAACUUGUUUUAGAUUGUGUUUUUAAGUGUUUUGAGUCAAGAUAUAAUCAAUUUUCGUCCAAAACUUGUGUUAGUAGCAGAAACUGCCUUAGUGUUGUUUUUAGGCAGUUUUGAGUCUUUUAAGUUUGUUUUGAGUCUUGUGA
This 595-nucleotide long non-coding RNA is filed under the name Malus domestica (apple). RNAcentral's name for it is "long non-coding RNA (MDOM_LNC018534)". The record is from RNAcentral. Lineage: Eukaryota; Viridiplantae; Streptophyta; Magnoliopsida; Rosales; Rosaceae.